This 1708-nucleotide long non-coding RNA is filed under the name Nicotiana tabacum (common tobacco). Its description in RNAcentral is "long non-coding RNA (NTAB_LNC001714)". Lineage: Eukaryota; Viridiplantae; Streptophyta; Magnoliopsida; Solanales; Solanaceae. The record is from RNAcentral.
UUCUCCUCACCUUUUUCUGUUUGUGCGUGUGUUUGGGAUUGAGAGGUGAGAGGGUUGCUAGUUCUGUGAAGGGGAAAUAGGUUUAAGAAGAAGGAGGAGGUCCACUGGUUUGGUGAGAGGUGAAGAAGCAGCGACGGCUAUGGAGGAGGGGGGUCAUUGCCGAUGGUUGACUCGAUGGUGGUCAAUUCCGGCGAGGCAACAAUCUCGAGUGAGAGAGAUGGCAGAGGCAGGUGAGGAGAUUGGUCAUGGGGUGUUGAGUUCUCUGCUGAAGGGUCUUCGAUGGAGGAGGUCGUGGGCGGCGGGUCUGUUGGUGGCUGCUGUGAGAGCUGACGGCGGCUGGUUUUUGUUGAAGGGGAGUGGUGGGCGGCUCUAAGGGUUCAGGGGUAUUCUAUAGGGUUAGGUUUUAGGUUGUAAUUAGGUAGAUAUAUGUGGGUGGGGAUUAGUUUCGACCAUUGGAUGAAAGGGAAUGAAUGACUAAGAUUAAAUUAAAAAGAGCUGAUGGGUUAAAGGGUCUUGAGCUUCAUAUUUGGGUCUUAAAAUUGGACUAAAAGAAAAAUGUCCAAACCUUAUCUAAAUAUCUUUUAAUAUAAGGUAAAUAUACUACAUAUUGCAAGAAAUUAUCUAAUUAAUUAAACUAAAUUUUAUAUAAAAUAUGAAACUAUUUUUUUAUAUUUUUCAAAUGUCAAACUAAAAUAAUAACAAGAUUAUAUUAAAAUCAUCGUAAAAUUAAGAUAAUACUACUACCCAAAACACUAAUAUCCUUUAAAAUAAAGUGUAACUAUUUUUGUAUUUUUGAAUUUUAUGUAAGGUAGAUAACUAAAAGUAACAAGAUAAAAUAUCAAUAACCUAAAUAAAAGAAAAUAUUUUUGUAAUUUUUGUUUUUGUGACAAAAUAAAGUAAAAUAGUUAAAACUAGGUAAAAUAACGAUAUUUGGCCUAAACUAAAUAUCUAAAAUCUAAAAUGAGUAAAAAUUCGGGGAGGGUCAAAAAUUACAUGUCUACAGCUGCCCUCUUUGACCGGAAAUAUGAUGUAUUUUCAGACAAAGAACGACUAGACAUGUUUUUUGACCUGACCCUUAUUUAGGGAGACCAAAAACUAAGAGAAAGGAAGAGAAUGUGACCGAGCCCUGGUAUCUGAGCUGCCUACAUAUCCUUGGCUAUAAAGGAAUCAGACCAUAUAUAGUUCAGAAAUGAAUGAGGUGAUGGAGUAUACUGAGGUGGAGAGUCGGUCGAGGUGUCGUUCUUUCGAGGUUCCGGUCCGCGGUCCUGUUAUUUACAUCAAAAUCAAAAAAUGAAAAAGACUAACUAAGCCUGUCAACUAUGAGUUACAAGAUUCCUAUCCAUAAGUCUUCUGAAGCUUGAUCUUGAGUCUUGAAUGGUUCUUCAUGCAGACUUUAGAUUUGAACCUUGACGCUUGCUAGUUGCAGGUGCUAGUUCAUUCUUCUUCAACUUUUCAGAUCGAAAUUGGACACACCAUGCUUGUGACUUUAGUCAUGUCUUGAGCAAUCCACCUCUUGUCUCAGCUUCUGCAUUUUGGAUUCACUUCCCUUUUUUUUUCUUGGUUUUGUUUUUCUUUUUUAUUCUGGAUUGAGAGUACCUCUGUUGAUCAUCUCGGACUGUUGACUCGCAUUCUUGCCGCGAGCUUCUGCUACUUCUAACUUGACUUGGAUUCUAAAAUGACUUCCCUCGUUCUUCAGGUGGGCGCCUGC